UCUACCUUGUAUGGUCCUGGUCGGCGACGGGUCCUCUUCCUUAGUUGGCUGUAGGCAUGCUGCGGACAGAGAAUAUUAACAUUCAAGACCAAAGAAACAAAAGCAAUCCUUGUGCCCCCGCCCAGCUUCUACCCACUGAACACUAGCAUUUAGCCAGCGCCCAUUAAAGGCAGCCCAAGUGCUCCAUCUGAAUUCAGCACCAACAGCCAGUCCACCUACCAGCCUCAUUUGACAGAUGAGGAAACCGAGGCCAGAUUCUCUGGAGAGUAAGUGGUCUCAGGUCCCGCCUCCAAGCUCCGAGUCCUUCUCUGUCCAGGGUAGCGGAGCAGCUUCCGCAGAAACCCAGGGCGCAGGCAUGGCCGCCGACUUGCCUUCCCAUUGGAAGUCGCUAAUGAAAAGCUCUUUCUGAGCGUGCCUGCACAGCACAAAAUGCCAUUAAAAAGAGGUCGCGCGCUCUGCCGUAAAAGCCGGGAUCCCCGCACCCACUCUGGCCACAGGGCAGUUAGGGUGAGCCUUGUUGGUUGGUCUGCUCCUCCUCCUCUGUGGAGGUGGGCCGGGCGCAGCGUUUCCGCCGCGUCAGUUUAGGAGCGAGGGUCAACGGAAAAGGCGCGCUCGGCCAACGAUCUUUCCGGAAAUGGGGAGGCAAACAGUCCUUCGAGCUCCUGUCGUUGGAAGUUGGCAACCGGGAAACCGUUGGAGAAGGAACCCGCAGCCCUGAGGUCAUCUGCCACUGGGGAAUGAAGCCUCGAAGCCAGUACAGGCAGCCGGGGCGGUUGGGCGAUCCCCCCUCUCGGAGGAGGCUGCAUUUCCUUUAUUCUUCCCCAGGCACGGAGGGAGCUUUGCAUCCUUGAGAAUGGUCCAGGCUGUCCUGGCAUUUCUUUGCCCUUCUGAAGGCUGCUGUGUGGGUUCCCCCCUCCUUUCUUUUAAUCGGGCGCUCUGACUCAAAACUGCGGCCGGGAUGGCCAAUGGAUAAUCAACAAACCUUUAGUAAUCACCAUGUGCCAGCCACUGCCAGGCCCAGGAGGCAAAAGGCAGGCCUUGCCCUGAGACACUUAUAACCCAAUGGGCUCUUUGACAAGCGCAGGGAUGGGGCUGGACUGGGGAAAGAAUUCAGUUUUUUCAAAGAAAAUCCAGGAAAAAUGAAAAUGGAUCCAUUGCCUAAAAGACACAGAAGACCCUCCAAUCCUUCCACACACCGAGGGAAGCUUGACAUGUGCCACUGAGCCAAGAUCUCUUUCUGAGCUUCAGAUCCCCCAAGGGACGCCUGCUUCACCAGGGAGCACAGCUAGGGGAGGAUUUCCAAUCAGAUCUAGCCAGGCUUGUCAAAAGAGUCCAAACUGAGGGAUUCUUCAAUCAAUCAAUCAAUCGAUCGAUCGGUCAAUCAAUCAACCAACAUUUAUUAAGCACCUAUUCUGUAUCAGGUCCUAUGCUGAGAGCUGGCUCUGCAAAGAGAGACUGAAGACAAUGCCUCCCUUCCAGGAGCUCACAAUUUAAGGGCUGAAAAAUGUAAAAAGUCCAAUCGUUCUCCUACAAAGUAGUAAAGAAAUGCUAGCUGUCUUUCCGAAUUGUAUGGCUCUCCCAUGGGCUCUGGUGCUCGGGGGGAGAAGCAGCGCAGCAUUGGGGGAGCUGCCCUCUGAGCUUCCUUCUUUCUGGCUGUGAGGGGCUAAGAUUGGGAUACUGUCCUCUAAUUCCUCCCUCUUCCGGGCUAGCCGGACUCCCUAUUCAAGUUUAUAGAUAGGGUUAGGACUUGGGGGGCAACCCCUGGGGACAUGAAACAAAUGUCCAGUGAGGCUGUGUGGCUCGCCUACUCUAUGGUCUUGAUUUUAUAGCCAGAAGCAGUCUAUAAAUGACUAGUGAUCAGGCUCUUGCUAUAGUCGCGCACUGGGCUAGUCAAUGCUUGAUUUCAUUUUCAUUGUCCCUUUCCCAGUGCCUAGCACAGUGUCUCGCAUACUGUAAGUGCCUAAUAAAUGCUUUUUCAUUGGCCAGCCUUGAAAUAAGAUGCUGAUAUUCUAAAAUCAAUCUCAUUGUGGCCAAAGCACCCAGCUUUGGGACCAGAGUUCCUAAUCUCACCCCAAAGUUUUCAGUCACCCCACCAGCAAGAAAGGGCACUCACUCAACGAAGGUGCUGAAUGCUGGAGGGGGGCCUGCAGUCAGGCCUGCCGCCCGGGGGGCCUCGGGGGGCUCACCGACCAUCUCGAGGCCUUAGUGUUCAGGCGGCCUCGAGUGCUCGGAAAGUGUGAGUCAUGGUGGCGUCUCGGGCACCGAUGCGGGCCAGUGGGGCCGUCCGGGAUCGUUGAGACCCCGCCUAGGAGGCAGAGGCCAGGCAGUGUGGGGGCAGCUCGCUCUCUUCCUCAGCCCUGUCCCAAGGUCCCCCAGGGAGGUCCAGAGUCUCCCAGCGGUCCCAGCCGCUGUGCAGGGCGUGAGCUCCUGGAGGGCAGGGAUGGUCCAGUUCUCUGCAUCCUUAGUGUUGAGCAGGUGCCUGGCACACAGUAGGAGCUUCCUAAUGGCUUGUGGCUGGCCUCGCUGUAAUCUUGGGAUGAGUCCCGGCCCUGAAGGGCAGUGACGGGCCAUGCAAGCAGCCAGCUGAGGACCCAGAAGCGGCUGCCGGGGAGUGGUGCCCCCGAAGGCGGGAGCCGAGGCGGCGUCCUCCCAGGCUCUCCUCCCUGAAUGCUGGCGCCGUGAGCAAUGUGGGUCUCUCUCAACGUGGAGAAUACGGAAACACAGACUGUGGCCAUUAGGACGCGGCCUGCCCAACGUGCAACGCCGUCAUUGCCCGUGUGGAGCUCAGUGCAGCAUGGAGUUGUUCGGGGAGGCUGGAGACAAGCUCGUGGCUCUCUCCCAGCCGCCAUCCCUUCAGGCCCUGGACGUCCCGCCUGGCCGGGGGCCAGAAGUCUGCCAGGGCUCUCUGACUGCAGAGGACCACGAAGGCCCCGGACUCCUCCUCUAGCCUCGGAGCUUUGCUCCUCCCCGUAGGGAGCGGGUGACCGUCGGCCCUGACCAGCGCUGCUCAUGCUUCAGUGAGGAGGAAGGUCUUGGGAGAAGGGAGAAAGCCGGGGCCAGGGCCGGCGACGGAGCAUCCUAGCAAGGGAAAGGAGCAGAGGGUCGCCGGCGGGAUGAAAGCCCCUCGGAGGCUUCAGAGCCCUUGAGCAAGGCCGGCCGGAGACCGGCCGUCUGACCUGGGGGCCCAGGAAGCCGCUGAUUUCCCCGGAGGAGGACCGGCCUUUGCAGCAGCUCUCUGUGGAGGAAGCUGUGGGUCUGACUAAACAAUAAACCUUCCAUUCUUUGACCA
Long non-coding RNA from Monodelphis domestica (gray short-tailed opossum), 3289 nucleotides. RefSeq lists it as uncharacterized. Lineage: Eukaryota; Metazoa; Chordata; Mammalia; Didelphimorphia; Didelphidae. The record is from RefSeq and is a predicted model, not a curated record.